Long non-coding RNA from Gossypium arboreum, 556 nucleotides. RefSeq lists it as uncharacterized. Lineage: Eukaryota; Viridiplantae; Streptophyta; Magnoliopsida; Malvales; Malvaceae. The transcript is spliced from 2 exons. The record is from RefSeq and is a predicted model, not a curated record.
CUACGCGAAAAGGGAGGACCAGACGCGGAAUUGACCCAUUUUGAACAAUAGGCACACAUCCUUAAUAACUGAAACGGCAUUGUUUCAUUUAAUUCCCAAAAUUAAAAGCCAUUGAAUGGCAGAUUGUUCUCCCUUUCAGCCACAAAUAGAAGACCCAAUUAUUAGGGUUUCAAAACAGCAGAUUUUUGAGGCUUUCCCCUUCCCUUUUCGAUCACUCGACUGCUACUUUCCACCGUUGAAACCGAUGGAUGAUAGCUCGCCAUGGAGACGUUUUGUUUUCUUACUCUAAACCUCUCCCAAAAGGGUAUGGAGGUGCCAGGGAAUGGUGCUUGCAGAGGCGUGGGGUGGCAAAAGGCAUGGGGUGGCAAAAGGCAUGGGGGUGACCAGGGUUUUUCCUUUUUUGCUGUUUUUUUAUUAUUGGUUUGGGCUAGAGUUAGUGGUUUGAGCUGAUGUAAUUUGGGUUUGGGUAUUUUGGUUUUAGGCCGGGCAUAAUUGGGCCUGUACAAGGAUUUUAUCCAUGUUACCAGAGGGAAAAAAACGACUUUUUCCAGCCUUA